Molecule: long non-coding RNA, 2903 nt
Organism: Cyanistes caeruleus (blue tit)
Lineage: Eukaryota; Metazoa; Chordata; Aves; Passeriformes; Paridae
Source: RefSeq, a predicted model, not a curated record
AAAUAUUUCUAUCACAGACUAUACAGAAUAACAUAUGCAAUUCUUCCUGAAACAAAGUUCAAUAAACAUUUCCAGUGCAGACAGACACAUCUGAGGAAACCCAACAAAAAAAACCUGCAAACAAACAAAACAAAACUUCAAAAAAGCCUUAUGACCUAAAAUGAUGACAAAAAAAGAAAGCUUAUUUUACAGCUCUGUCCCGUAAGAACAGCAAGAUGUGAAAAUGCCCAUGGGAAGUUACCUGUUUUUCUGAAAACUUAUAACCCCUACAAAACAUCUGUGUAACAACAAUAUAUUGCUUUGAAGAUCAUGAAUCUUUGGAAUUCUCCCAUACAAUAUAUGUAUGCAUGCAAUACAUCAACAUCUACCGCAGUUCCAUGUUACUUAAAAUGAAUGAAGUUGUUACCAAGUAAGAAGGUAAAAUUCUCCACUGCUCACGUGUCUGUUUGCAUUAUCUUUUCUUUGAGGAGAGUUUGUGUUUUUCCUUCAGCUCACUGGCAACCCCCCUCUAAGUCUUGCUGGGAUAAUUUAAGUAUUAUUGUCCUCUGGACAACUCAAGUUCAGAGACUGGCCUGUAGAUUAGAUCUACGGCAUAUUCAAGACACCAAAAGAUUCUUGGCCUUGGAUGCUGCCAGGAUUUCAGUUUAAUAUUGUUCUUGGCCCUAGAUUUUGUGCAACAGGUGAAAAUGCAAGGCCACAAAGGAACAUGCUCUUCUCUCUGACCAAACCUGUUAGAAGUGUCAAGAUGGAAAAAAAAAAAAAAUUAAAAUAUUCAAUGUUGAACAGCAACAUCCUAGAAGAAGAAGGCAUGGUCCCUUUCUUUUAAGCUGUACAUGUGCUAAUUCAAUGUCCAGAGGCAGGAGGAGACAGCUUUACAAAGCAUGUGAUCAUCAACUUCCCCAAAAGGAUGUGGUUUUUACUUGAGCCACCUUGAAGUUGUCUCUGACUCUGCAGCUGGCCCUGCUUUGCUGGAACACCUGAUCUUCAGAGGUCCCUCACAGCCUCUUGCCUGGUUCCCACUUUAUUUGAAGGGCUGCUUCUUCAGAAGCACACACACAGUGCAGAAUCCAGGUAAGGCUGGAACUAACUACACAAUAAGUAAAACAAAAUCUGCAAGGAUACUGGCUUCUAACUGCUAUGUAGAGGGCAAAUUAUGUUUCAUAAUCAGCAGCCUAUGGUUGUUGUUUUUAAGUUAACAUAAGCAAAGCUUUUUGUUUUUAUUUUAUCUAACAGUUUCAUAUUAUUUACCUCAAUUGUUAACUCCUAAUUCAAUUAAAAGCCUGAUGUCUGCUAACAUGCUAACUCCCCAAACAUUUUAGACCAGAGAUGUUUGAACUGAGCAAUUUUUGAGGGAGAAGGGUAAGACAAAAGAGACAUUUUGAAGAAGCCAGAAUUUUUGGUCUAUUGGUAAUAUGCCUCUUGCAAAUACCUUAACAAUCCGCAAGUGAAAUAAUUCUUAUCAAACAUUACAUUUUGUUUAUUUAGUUGUAUGUUGAGACUAUACAAGGAUAAAGUCAAGGAACCACUUUUGUGUCUGUGUUCAUCUAUUCCUACAUCUGGAAAUGAAGUCCUUGUCAUUUCCAUAAAAUUGUGUCAUUUAACAGAAAAUUGUCAAAGGCUUAAAGGGAAUUCAGAAAGUUAGAGGCACUUUUUCAGAGACUGUCUUCAAAUCAUCAUAUAUAAUUAUUUAGUAACAGGUACUUCAAUAUAUACUUAAGCACGUUUACACAAAGAAUGACUCUUGGCUUAAGCAGCUAUGAAGCUAAAUGCUGAUCAUUCAACAUUGAAUAAAAAUAUGCUCAUGAACAGGCCUCUUAGCAUCUCUGCUGGAAACAAGGUCUAUAGAGUCUUCCUGUUUGUCCCAGCCCUGCAUUAAUGCCAACAUGCUUGCUCUUAGACAUGAAAAUCUCCAUCUGACACGAGUCAGACGAAGGCAGACUGAAAUACAGGGCUGAGAACCAGUAGGGAAUUCUGGGUCUAAGCGGGAAUGACCAGAAGUGCAGGAAGUCAGAAGGGAGUGGAGAGGUCAGAAGGCACUUGGGACUCCUGAGCACCCAGCAACAUGGAUUUCUAUGGACUUGCCUUUCCUUUUGCAAACACUCCCUGGGAAUGCAUGUCCCUCAUCCUUGAAAAUUCUGAGGUUUCAAAAAAAUUGUAAAAAGGUGAAAAGAGCUGUGACUAUUACAAAAUCUCAAGACCGACAGACACUGUCAGCAGUGCGACUUAACUGCUCCCAGCUCUCAUCUCUCUCCAGCAGUGAAAAUGUGUUUCUCCCCUGGUAGCUGCCAAAGAGUUAACAAAAAGCACUCUUGACUGCAAGAGUUAAAUCCACAGCACUUCAUGAGCUCAAAGUCAACCCUGUCAACAUCUGGAGUUGGUUGACUUUUCCCCCUAAGGAUUUGCAGCACGGUGCUGGAUUUUUUCCAUGAAUUCCCUGCAUUCUCAAUCUCUCAGAUGGAUGUGACACACACCCAGCGCCCACCUCACAAACUCCUCUGGCCACUGCAAGGCUCCAGAGGACUUUGUGCUGUUUCCAUUUAUUCAGUGUUUAGGGCCAAGUCAUGCUUUUGGUCACAUACACAAGUCUCUCACUAGGUUCACAUGAGCAAAAGCAAAUGCUGCAGCCACGAGGUGUCAUUUACAAUUGUUUGUCACCGCUGUGUCUGGAUUUGCUACAAAUACAACUUGUAAAAGAAAAAAAAACCAAACCACAAACAAACAACAAAUCUCCAGAUACUGCUCUAAAACAUCUAUGAGAAAAACAGAAGGCACAUAAAAAAAAUCUGAACCAAGCUUGUAUUUAUCAAAUGUGGUUUUCUCUUAAUGACACAAUUCUUCUAAUUAUCAUUAGAAACACUAACGACAAUAAGGGAUAAAAAUUGAUACAAGUGAGUAAUUAAAAA